This 422-nucleotide ribosomal RNA is filed under the name uncultured archaeon. Its description in RNAcentral is "partial 16S ribosomal RNA". It matches the Rfam family "Archaeal small subunit ribosomal RNA", at positions 323 to 746 of the family's 1478-position model. The record is from RNAcentral.
CUACGGGAGGCAGCAGGCGAGAAAACUUUGCAAUGUGCGAAAGCACGACAAGGUUAAUCCGAGUGGUUUGUGCUAAACGAACCUUUUGACAGUCCUAGAAACACUGUUGAAUAAGGGGUGGGCAAGUUCUGGUGUCAGCCGCCGCGGUAAAACCAGCACCUCAAGUGGUCAGGAUGAUUAUUGGGCCUAAAGCAUCCGUAGCCGGCUCUGUAAGUUUUCGGUUAAAUCUGUACGCUCAACGUACAGGCUGCCGGGAAUACUGCAGAGCGAGGGAGUGGGAGAGGUAGACGGUACUCGGUAGGAAGGGGUAAAAUCCUUUGAUCUAUUGAUGACCACCUGUGGCGAAGGCGGUCUACCAGAACACGUCCGACGGUGAGGGAUGAAAGCUGGGGGAGCAAACCGGAUUAGAUACCCGAGUAGUC